GACGAACGCUGGCGGCGUGCUUAACACAUGCAAGUCGAACGGAAAGGCCUGCUUUCCCUUGUGGAUUGCGGGUACUCGAGUGGCGAACGGGUGAGUAACACGUGAGUGAUCUGCCCCCAACUUGGGUAUAAGCCUGGGAAACUGGGUCUAAUUCCCGAUAGGACUGCAGGGUGGUGCCUGUGGUGGAAAACGAUUUUCUAGUGGUUGGGGGUGAGCUCGCGGCCUAUCAGCUUGUUGGUGGGGUAAUGGCCUACCAAGGCGGCGACGGGUAGCCGGCCUGAGAGGGUGGACGGCCACAGUGGGACUGAGAUACGGCCCAGACUCCUACGGGAGGCAGCAGUGGGGAAUAUUGCACAAUGGGCGGAAGCCUGAUGCAGCGACGCCGCGUGGGGGAUGACGGCCUUCGGGUUGUAAACUCCUUUCGACCGCGAGGAAGCCACCUGGUUGGAAGGGUGGUGACGGUAGUGGUAGAAGAAGCACCGGCUAACUACGUG
Molecule: ribosomal RNA, 494 nt
Filed under: uncultured bacterium
Lineage: Bacteria
Description: partial 16S ribosomal RNA
Rfam family: Bacterial small subunit ribosomal RNA
Source: RNAcentral